GGGUUGUGAGGUUAAGCGACUAAGCGUACACGGUGGAUGCCCUGGCAGUCAGAGGCGAUGAAGGGCGUGCUAAUCUGCGAUAAGCGCCGGUAAGGUGAUAUGAACCGUUAUAACCGGCGAUACCCGAAUGGGGAAACCCAGUGUGAUUCGUCACACUAUCAUUAACUGAAUCCAUAGGUUAAUGAGGCGAACCGGGGGAACUGAAACAUCUAAGUACCCCGAGGAAAAGAAAUCAACCGAGAUUCCCCCAGUAGCGGCGAGCGAACGGGGAGGAGCCCAGAGCCUGAAUCAGCAUGUGUGUUAGUGGAAGCGUCUGGAAAGGCGCGCGAUACAGGGUGACAGCCCCGUACACAAAAGCGCAUGUGCUGUGAGCUCGAUGAGUAGGGCGGGACACGUGGUAUCCUGUCUGAAUAUGGGGGGACCAUCCUCCAAGGCUAAAUACUCCUGACUGACCGAUAGUGAACCAGUACCGUGAGGGAAAGGCGAAAAGAACCCCGGCGAGGGGAGUGAAAAAGAACCUGAAACCGUGUACGUACAAGCAGUGGGAGCACCCUUUUGGGUGUGACUGCGUACCUUUUGUAUAAUGGGUCAGCGACUUAUAUUCUGUAGCAAGGUUAACCGCAUAGGGGAGCCGGAGGGAAACCGAGUCUUAACCGGGCGUUAAGUUGCAGGGUAUAGACCCGAAACCCGGUGAUCUAGCCAUGGGCAGGUUGAAGGUUGGGUAACACUAACUGGAGGACCGAACCGACUAAUGUUGAAAAAUUAGCGGAUGACCUGUGGCUGGGGGUGAAAGGCCAAUCAAACCGGGAGAUAGCUGGUUCUCCCCGAAAGCUAUUUAGGUAGCGCCUCGUGAAUUCAUCUCCGGGGGUAGAGCACUGUUUCGGCUAGGGGGCCAUCCCGGCUUACCAACCCGAUGCAAACUGCGAAUACCGGAGAAUGUUAUCACGGGAGACACACGGCGGGUGCUAACGUCCGUCGUGAAGAGGGAAACAACCCAGACCGCCAGCUAAGGUCCCAAAGUCAUGGUUAAGUGGGAAACGAUGUGGGAAGGCCCAGACAGCCAGGAUGUUGGCUUAGAAGCAGCCAUCAUUUAAAGAAAGCGUAAUAGCUCACUGGUCGAGUCGGCCUGCGCGGAAGAUGUAACGGGGCUAAACCAUGCACCGAAGCUGCGGCAGCGACGCUUAUGCGUUGUUGGGUAGGGGAGCGUUCUGUAAGCCUGCGAAGGUGGCCUGUGAGGGUUGCUGGAGGUAUCAGAAGUGCGAAUGCUGACAUAAGUAACGAUAAAGCGGGUGAAAAGCCCGCUCGCCGGAAGACCAAGGGUUCCUGUCCAACGUUAAUCGGGGCAGG
Molecule: ribosomal RNA, 1347 nt
Filed under: Salmonella enterica
Lineage: Bacteria; Pseudomonadati; Pseudomonadota; Gammaproteobacteria; Enterobacterales; Enterobacteriaceae
Description: bacterial LSU rRNA
Rfam family: Bacterial large subunit ribosomal RNA
Source: RNAcentral